AAAUUGAAGAGUUUGAUCAUGGCUCAGAUUGAACGCUGGCGGCAGGCCUAACACAUGCAAGUCGAGCGGUAGCACAGAGAGCUUGCUCUCGGGUGACGAGCGGCGGACGGGUGAGUAAUGUCUGGGAAACUGCCUGAUGGAGGGGGAUAACUACUGGAAACGGUAGCUAAUACCGCAUAACGUCGCAAGACCAAAGUGGGGGACCUUCGGGCCUCAUGCCAUCAGAUGUGCCCAGAUGGGAUUAGC
RNAcentral lists this ribosomal RNA (246 nucleotides) under Klebsiella pneumoniae. RNAcentral describes it as "partial 16S ribosomal RNA". It matches the Rfam family "Bacterial small subunit ribosomal RNA", at positions 1 to 245 of the family's 1533-position model. RNAcentral also lists the same sequence under 2 other names. The record is from RNAcentral. Lineage: Bacteria; Pseudomonadati; Pseudomonadota; Gammaproteobacteria; Enterobacterales; Enterobacteriaceae.